GAUGAACGCUAGCUAUAGGCUUAACACAUGCAAGUCGAGGGACCGGCGCACGGGUGAGUAACACGUAUCCAACCUGCCCUUUACUCGGGGAUAGCCUUUCGAAAGAUAGACUAAUACCCUAUAUAAAGGAUGGGGAUGCGUUCUAUUUGGUUGUUGGUGAGGUAACGGCUCACCAAGCUCUCGAUGGAUAGGGGUUCGGAGAGGAAGGUCCCCCACAUUGGAACUGGGAAACGGUCCAAACUCCGACGGGAGGCAGCAGUGAGGUAUAUUGGUCAAUGGACGCUAGCCUGAACCAGCCAAGUAGCUUGAAGGAUGAAGGCUUAUGGGUCGUAAACUUCUUUUAUAUAGGUAUAGGUAUUAUAUGAAUAAGGAUCGGCUAACUCCGUGCCAGCAGCCGCGGUAAUAC
Molecule: ribosomal RNA, 406 nt
Filed under: uncultured bacterium
Lineage: Bacteria
Description: partial 16S ribosomal RNA
Rfam family: Bacterial small subunit ribosomal RNA
Source: RNAcentral